AAUAAUCAUGUUUCCAUAAAAUUGCUAAGUCCAGAGAUAAUACAUAAACAUAGUAGACUGUUCAUGACACAUAUCACGGUGGACAGUGUUUGUGUCCUUAUUACAAGCAACGAGAGAUGCUCGUCACCAACACGCGCGCGCACAGAUGCACGACAUACAUAUAGUAGAGACCAACAGAUGGUCGUCCCAUAUGGUGAACAAUUUAUUGGAGAUAAAUAUUAACGUAACUUGGCCAUAGCUUGAAGCAUAGCAACAUAUGCCUAUGAGUGGCAUUCAUGCUAUCGUUUUAGGCUUGUCCAGCUCCUUCCAUCUUAGCAAGCACUUCCAUUUCUACCAUCUUAGCAGCAACUGUCAAAUUGAGAUACGGAAAUCCCAUUAGCGCAUGAGUUAAUUUUGCAGUGGAAAUAGAGUACAAGAUGUCUUCAUGAUGUAAGUAAUAUGCCUGAAGUUGUGAGAUGGGAAGUGAAGUCAACAAAUUACAUUAACGGAAAUGCAUGGAAGGCCACACAUACGUAUUAGUCCAUGAUAUGCUACAAAGCUUGUAUGUACAUAUAGCAAAUUAAAUGCAUUAAUUGAAUAGAGUGUGUUUAGUGAAUUUACCAGAAUCGUCCAGAAAACAUGGGAAACAGCAAGUGUUCUUGCAGACUGCGUCGGAGGCACCCGCACGAAUACAAAGCUGACAACAUAGUUUUGCCUGGGCGGAUGCGCAGCAGCCGCACUCCGCCGCGGUGGGGUUAACAUUGAGGCUCAAGAUGACCAGGCACAUGAUCACCAUCAAAGUGGUAGUCCUCUUUCCCUCCAUUGCCUCCUCUUAGCUUGCUGCUACCUUCCUUGGUUACCUAGCUAAGUUUAUUGGUUUUGUGUUGAGAGGUGUGAUUCUUGAAUGGACGUUGCCGGCGGCAAUUUAUAGGCAGCUGAGCUAUGUGAUGAUAUGGACUAGGUGCAAAUGGGUGGUUAAUGGCAAGGAAAGGGGCGUCAGACAAAGCCCAAUGGCAACUGCUGACAUGCGAUUAAAUUCAGAUCCACAUCCGGCCAUUCAAUAAUACGGUUGGAGUUGUGGCACAGAUAUAUUAUUGCAUGAUCAUCAAGAUAAGAUCGUACAGUGACUGAGUGAGACAAUAAAUAGCCAAGUAAACUAUUUUAUCCUGCUGCAAGCUGCAUUCAUAAGUUUAUUUCACCUUUGAUCACAAUACUCUUCACACACGUACGUCUCAGGGAGAUCUCACUUCCGCUGGACUGCUCACUUCCGCUGUCGUCGGUACUGCCAAAGACAUAAGCUCACAUCUGCUAUUGCGGAGCAGGCCAAUUUGCUGCGGAACUUCGGCGACGACCUGAAGGACAUGAACUCGGUGCUGGAGUCCAUCUCAGCAGCGCUCUAGGACGCUGACACCGGUAGAAAAACGACCUUCCAUCGUCAACAAAAAUCCCGGUAGCUUUUUUACUCGGUACUAAAGAGGUUUUAAUCUCGUGCAAACACCUUUAGUCCGGAUUGCUGUUACCACGCAACCCGAACUAAAGCGUCCCCCACGAGUUACUAUAUAAGGAUUGCAUCCUUUACUCAGUCAGAUAUAAUGUGUAGGUGAGAUGGUAAGGAAGCUAUACGUGAGGCUUCAGGUUGUGGGUUCGAAUCCAAGGAGAAGUGGGUGCAGCUGUGGCUUAAGCGGCUGAGGCACGCCGCCAUAGACAUCUCAGAUUUGCUCGAAGACUACCAAGACACUAGUGAACCCUUAACAGUAAAGGUGAGUACUUAUGAAUGUCAGCAUCCAUGUUGUCCAUGCUUCCAAUGUAAUAACAAGAUGGACUACUCUUCCUAGCGGACUCUUCACAACCACUCGUAAAGCUAUACGUUUCUCAAUGCAAUUUCGUAGAAGCCAAUCGAUCCAACCAAGUGACUAAAUCAUUCAUCCUUUCCAAUGAUGUGCAUCAGGUUUUCUACAUGAAGGGCAUCUCUAGCAAACCCAAGAUUUCAGAAGAAAAAGAAAAAUCAUUGGAGCCAAAGAGCCACAUAGUUCUUCCAGGAAAAAAAAAUCAUGGGAGUCGAGAACAAAUCAAACCAAUCAGAGGAUUAUGGUCAGCUUAAUGGCAUGCCUCCAUUCGAUGUCGAAGUUCACCCAAGCAUCAUGUUAGCCAAACAUCAAAUGUUCGUGCGUUGUUACGGUAAAGAUCAAUUGUGUUUUUUAAACUCAUGGAAUUUUUUUUCUAAGUUUUUAUUACACUUAUUGGAUGUCUACACAUUUGCUAGAAAACCAAAAUAAUUUGGACUUAAUUAUUUCUUUCAACUGAAGUACUCACUAAAUUUCUACCUUUUUAUUUAAGCAAGAGAGUUGCUAAAAAAAAUGGAUACAUAACCAUGUUGUAUCGUACAAAGCAACCACAUUUCACAUAUAGUCCGGCUUACCAAACACCAUUUUUUACUGAACAUAGCGUACAUGAGUUAAGAGACAUGGAUUUAUUUCUAUUGCAAGUAGCAUAGCGUACAACCUGCCUGCACCGAUGCAGCUCAAUAUGCGAUAAUUUUUAUCUUCCCAUGUAAUUUUUCUACUCUAGUACAUAUUGAACUCCACAUUAAUGUCAUGUUCUUUGGCGCCCCAGACGGUUCCUAAAGUUUGGAAACAAAAUAGAUAGCCAGAAAUUUUUUUAAAAAAUAUUUAUAUGGAUAUUUGUAUGUUCUUUGCAAACUAACAAUAUUGUUUACCAAUAUCAAAAGGAAUAUGGCUAGGAGCCAUUGCCGCAUAUGGCAGGUGAUGGUAGAUGGCGUAUGGGAUUUCGUUAAUUUAAUGGUAUAAUAAGCUGAAAUACAUUUUCUAUUUGCAAAUGAAUCAUAGCUGAAAGUGGUGAGAUUGUUUUUUCGCCGGUUUAGCAUCCUGUGCACCGGUUCAACUGGAGGGAAGCGGUUCACCGAGACGGAUGACAAUUUUACGGCAGAAUCAUUACUUGUUUUAUUAUUAGGUGAAGAUUUUAGCUUUUAGGUAUCUCACAUUAACAAUCUGUUUCUAGUGUAUAAUGUAGGAGACCCGUAAAGAGUCUACACACACAUAUAUAUGUUGACUAUGAAUGUAAGUUUGUUGGUUUUAUGUAUGUUCAUUUGGAGUUUAUAUAAAUUUUACAUUUUAUAGUUUUGUGUAUAUGACGAAGAUCCAUGACUUGCAUUAAUUUAACCUUUCUUCCAACAACUCUUAUGCAUGCUGUUUCUAGGGGAGCGCACUGGUUGCAAUUUUGGUCCCCGAUAUAGCAUGAGGACUUAAGGGAGACGGGCACGUCGUAACCUUAGAUAUUUUUGCAAGAAGCAAAUUAUACUUUGCUUUUGAUUUUCUCCAUGCCAUUUGCUGACUCUUAUCCCUUUUAUUUAUCAUUAUAAGAUGAAAAUAUUGUAAAAACUUGGUUACGUGCGGUCGCAGAAGCUAGAGACUAUUUCUUUUUUUAAAAAUACGCAAGAGGGAGAAACUUGGUAACAGCUAGACAGUGAAGAUCGCAUUUCAUAAGAAAGAUGGUGCACGUUCUUGUUUGGCUGUUAACGAAAUGACUUCGUUUCACCACACCACCAGAGAGCCCCAUUGCACUUGCAGCAAAAGCGUGGAGCCGCUUUCAACCAGCGUGCAAUAAUGCAGUCCCGCGUGUCUUGGUCUUACAGGAUAUUUGGUUCUUUAGUCCGGACUAAAAUUCAUGUCGCAUAGAAUAUUCAGAUGUUAAAUAGGAGGACUAAACAUGAGCUAAUUAUAAAAAUAAUUACACAAAUGGAGGCUAAUUCCCAAGACAAAUCUAUUAAGUCUAAUUAAUCCAUCAUUAGCACAUGUUUACCGUAGCACCGUAUUGUCAAAUCAUGGACUAAUUAGGCUUAAUAAAUUCGUCUCGCAAGUUAGUCUCCAUCUAUACAAUUUGUUUUAUAAUUAGUCAAUGUUUAAUACUCUAUCUAAACAUUCAAUGUGACUGAAAUUUUAGGAGGUCCUAAAGAACCAAACACCCCUUAGUCUCCGCCUGAACUAUAGCAGGUGCUGGCAGCGGUAGCAGGGUCGUCCAUUAUAUCUAUGGAUGGAAAUGAUCUGAUUCGGAUGGAAUCGAAUUCGAAUAGCACUUUUUACCACAUACUAAUCUGAAUUGGAUGUUCUCGAAUGUGAAUGCAAAACGGAUAGUUCAAAUUUGAAUACUUUGCGGAUUUUUGCAUAAUAUUAAUCGAAGAGAAUUUGUUAAAUUUAGCCGAGACAUAAAUUUUUCUAAAUUCAAAUACUUUGCAGAUUUUCGAAUGCAAAUUUUUUCAUACGAUCUCGGUUGAAUACAAACUUUAUAUCAAAGUUGUAUAUUUAGAUUAUAUAUAAAACUUUGUAGUUGACCUCCUUUUCAUUUAAAAUUUUUUAAUAGCUCAAAACAUUAUUCUAAGCUUUCUAAUUUCAAAAUCUUGAAUUUUAAAUUUUUCAAACGACCUCGGAUGCAAACAAGCUCUAUAUCAAAGUGCUUAAUGAGAUAUAAAAUUUUGUAGUUGACAAGUUUUUUAGUUGAAAACAUUUAGUUAUCACAAACAUACAAGUUCUUCAUUUGAUGUCGAGGAUUGGAAGUGUUGAGUUUGAAGAAUAUAUUCUUUGAUUACAAACUUUUCCAUAUGAUCUUGGAUGAAUACGAACUUUAUUUCAAAGUUGCAAAUUUAGAUUAGACCAAAAACAGUAUAGUUUACAAUUUUUUCAUUCAAAAUUAUUUAGUAGCUCAAAAUGUUAUUCUAAACUCUCUAAUUUUGAAAUCUUGAAUUUUAAAAUUUUCAAAUGACCUCGGAUGCAAACAAGCUCUAUAUCGAAGUGGUAGUUCUUAAUGAGAUAUAAAAUUUUGUAGUUCCAUCUGAGAUCAUUUAACAGUCACAAAUAUACAAGUUUUUCAUAUGAUGCUAAGGAUCAGAAAGAUUAAGUUUGAAGGCUGUAUUUUUUUAAUACAAAUUUUUGCAUACGAUCUCGGAUGAAUACAAACUUUAUAUCAAAAUUGUAGAGCUCGAUGAGAAUUUAAACUUUGUAGUUGAUAUAUUUUUCAUUCGAGAAUGUUUAGUGGUCCAAACAUGUAUUAUAAGUUCAGAGAAGAAACACACAAUCGGCCACGUCAUCAAUUGACAACUUCCAAACUGAGCAUUCCUAUUGGUUCACACCUUUCCCUUUCAACUCGUCAAGCUUAUCUCCUCCCACUCCUCCAUCGUUCACUCCCCCUUCCCCUUCCUCUCUCCCUCCCUCCCUCCGCUCCAGCAGUGGCAGCCCGACCUGCCUCCUAGGACGGUGGUGUGCGGGGCUCGGGCAUCCCUGGCCUCUAGUGGCGUGGCAGGGCGGCCUCCAGCAGCGAUGGCGGAACUCGGCCUCCGGUGGCGCACAGGCAGCGCAGCCUACCUGGUCAAAGGCGGCGCAACAGGGCGACCUCCCCAGCCUCCGGCGGCGCGCAGGGCAUCCAUGACCUCCCCGGCCUCCCUUGCCAGAGGUGGUGCGCGGGGCUGCGCCGACCUCCCCAACCAGAGGUGGCAAGGCCCCAGCUUACGGCGGCGCGUGGCUCCCCAGCUAGGGUGUGGUGGGGCGGCGGCAAGUCAGGCGUGGCCGCGUGGGGGUGGGGGGAGGGGGUUGGGCUGGGCGGAUUCAGAUAGUAUCCAUUUAACCAUCCGAAAUGUGGAUAUCCGUUUAACAAUCCGUUUAGCAAAACCGAAUUUGGAUACUUCCACUUAAGUAUCCAACUAGGAUUCGAAUGCGGAUGGUCCUACCAUAUUGUUAUUUCAGCGGAUACGAAUAUGGGAUAAUUCGAAUAACGACUUACCCAUCCCUGAUUAUAUCCGUGUAAAUAAAUAAUUGCGGCAGCAGGUUCCCGUCGCCACGCCCCCGUCAAACCAAACAAUUGCUUGCGCGACACCGUGUUACUAGAUCUUGUACAGUACUCCCUCCGUUGCAGUACUCCCUAAUGAAAGUUGAGAAUCGAUCGACAACCACGGCUAGUUGCUAUGCACUCGAUCAGAUGGUCCAGGCGCCCGCUGGUAAUCAGGUCGUGGUUCACGCGCAUCAGGCCAGCUAUGACGUUGCCAGCAGUGCUCAGUACACAAAUCUAGCUAUCAGUCGGAUCCAAUUGGGCAGGCAUUUGCACUGUGGUUGUGUUUGAACCUGUAGAUGUCGUUGUCAUUAUCAGGCACCAUACAUCCUCUCUCAGAGGGUGUUUCACCCCCUAAACUUUAGCCCCUCUCACAUCGAAUGUUUUAGAUACUAAUUAGGAAUAUUAAACAUAGAAAAUUUACUAAACCCAUUACAUGGAUGGAGGGUAAACGGCGAGACAAAUCUAUUAAAUCUAAUUAGUCCAUGAUUUGACAAUGUGCUGCUAUAGUAACUAUUUGCUAAUGAUGGAUUAAUUAGACUUAAUAGAUUUUUCUUGCUGUUUAGCCUCCGUCUGUGCAAUUAGUUUUAUAAUUAAUUCAUAUUUAGUCCUCCUAAUUAGUCUCCGAAUAUUUGAUGUGACACGGACUAAACUUUAGAUAGCACACCAGGGACCGACACCAUGCAUGCUGAUUUCAUAUCAUAAUUAAGGAAAGUGAUAUCAUAAUUAAGGAAAGUGGUAGCAUCCAAGAAAUCGAUCAUGUUUCUUCCCCCUUUGGCUUUCCUACUAGGAUUUGGAUAGCGGGCCUUCCUACUAGGAUUUGGAAUCCGCUAUCGCAUGACUAUCUUAAUUAUGUCCCAUAGUCCAAAACUCACAAAACAUCAAAAAUCCAUCGAGAAUAAAUUAAGUAAAAAACAUGCGCACACAGAUAAUAAUAAUAAUAAUCAUGUUUCAAUAAAAUUGCUAAGAUUAGAGAUAGUACAUAAACAUAUUAGAUUGUUCGUGACACAUAUCAUGGUGGAUAGUGUCUGUGUCCUUAUUACAAGCAGCGAUAGAUGCUUGUCACCACACACACGCACGCACAGAUGCACGACAUACAUAUAGUUGAGACCAACGGAUGGACGUCCCAUAGGGUGAAUAAUUUAUUGGAGAUAAAUAUUAACAUAACUUGGCCAUAGCUUGAAGCAUAGCAACAUAUGCUUAUGAAUGGCAUUCAUGCGGGUAGCAAUGCUAUCAUAUGCUUUUAGGCUUGUCCUUAGCUUCUUCCAUCUUAUAGCAAACACUGCCAUUUCUUCCAUCUUAGCAGCAACUGUCAAAUUAAUUGAGAUAUGGAAAUCCCAUUAGCGCAUGAGUUAAUUUUGCAGUGGAAAUAGAGUAGAAGAUGUCUUCAUAAUGUAAGUAAUAUGACUCUGACAUAGGGAGUGAAGUCAACAAAUUACAUUAACGGAAAUGCAUGGAAGGCCACGCAUAUGUAUUAGUCCGAUAUGCUACAAAGCUUGUAUGUACAUAUAAUAAAUUAAAUGCAUUGAAUAGAGUGAUUUUAGUGAAUUUACCUAAAUCGGAUUAAAAAACAUGGGAAACAACAAGUGUUCUUGUAGGGCUUUGUUUAGUUCCCAAAUUGGGAGUAGCAAAGUUUGCAUUUUACCAUAAAUGCGCAACUAUAGCAUGUAGCAUUUUGUUUGUAUUUGUGAAUUAUUAUCCAAACAUUGACUAAUUAGGCUCAAAAGAUUCAUCUCGCAAAGUACAACAAAACUGUGCAAUUAGUUUUUGAUUUCGUCUACAUUUAGUACUCCGUGCAUGUACCGCAAGUUUGAUGUGAUGGGGAAUCUUGCUUUUCAAUAGUGACAAAGUUGGGAUUUCGGGGGGAAGGCCUGUGUCGGAGCCACAUGCAAGAAUGGCUGACAUUGAGGCUCAGACAAAGCCCAAUGGCAACUGCUGACAUGCGAUUAAAUUUAGAUAUCCACAUCCAGCCAUUCACAUUUAUGAGAUAUGGACACGGUGCAAAUGGGUGGGGUCCUGAUAUGGAGGUGCGAAUGGCUGUCUACUUGUAUAGUGUAGCUCCAAUGUACGUAUAUGUAUCUUAUGCAUGUAUACAGUUGCACAAACUCUGAACCAACUCUUCAUAACAGGUCUUUGUUACCAAGUAACUUUACUUUUGCACGUUUCAGCCGAGAGGUAGAAGAGAAUAUUUUUGCAUUUUCCAUGUGCGUCAGUGGUAGAGAACUAGGAAUUAGUUCCGGAUGGUAGGGCACAAAUCUUCCAAACAACUAUCCGAAAUUAAGCAAUCGAGAUAAAGGGUGCCAUCUAUUCUCUCCGAAAAACACAGGUACCAAAAAGAAGAAGAGAAGAGGGAGGGCCUCCCGUUAAGGCCCGCUCGGGGUCUCCAUCCCACCACGCGCCCUCCCAACCCAAAGCCCAUCGUUUUCCCUCCGUCCCUCCCCUCUCCAUUGCCGCCGCCGCUCCCCUCAUCCGAGCUCGAUACGGGUGGUCGGCGGCCCCUCCUCUCCGCUCCCGCCCCCGGCCUCCCUUUGACCGCCGGGCGCCGGCAUCACUGCCGCGGCCAACCCCAGGGCGCAGCGCGUGCCUCUAUUUCUCUCCCCCGUUCAAGGGCCCUUUGAUGGCGACGAGCACCCACCCACCAGGUAUGCCCUCCCCUUCUCUUCCUAACCCUAAUAUAUUCGGAUCUCACCCAGUCACAAUAUAUUACCUAAUAGCUUCGAUUUUGUUUGCAAAAAUCAUCACGUGCGCACCCAUGUCCGCUAGAUUCUUGCGCCUGAUCCUGUGCUGCUAUGGUUUGGGCGGGGUAGACUAGUUGAUUCGUGCACUUUUGGGUGCUUGUAGUGCUAGGUUUUGGAGGGGGAUAGCCCAGUUGAUUCCUCCGUUUUGGGUGCUCAUGGUGAUAGGAUUUGGAUGGGGAUAGCCCCAAUGAUUCGUGCGCCUUUGGGUGCUGGGGAUAGUUUUGGGUGCCUGGAUAGUCCAGUUUCAAUGUCAGUAUAUGCGUAUUUUGGGGAGAAUUUUGUUUUGGGUGGUUCUGGUGCUAGAGUUUCUGAUGCUUAGUAGCCCAGUUUCAAUCAAAUUCCCCCAUGGGUCGUGCACUACGGGAAACAAGAAAAUUGCCGAGUGUAUUUUUUUUGUCGAGUGUUUUUUUUCGAGCACUCAGCAAACAAGCUCUUCGCCGAGUGCCAAGUCAAAAACACUCGGCAAAAAAAAACACUCGGCAAAUCGGGGCUUUGCCGAGUGUCAAAUAAAAAACACUCGGCAAAGAAGGGGGUUUGCCGAGUGUUAAAAAAAACACUCGGCAAACAGGAGGGUUUGCCUAGUGUUUUUUUGACACUCGGCAAAAAAAUAAUUGUUUUUCCUCUUUUCACCUUGAAAUUUUUUCUACUCCCCACAUACAACACGUGGUACUCCAUGUUAAAAUUUGGUAUAUUUUUGGAUUUAUUUGCUAUAUUUAUUUAAUUAAUUGCAUUACAAGGAAAUUUUUGGUAUAAGUCAAAUUUGAACUGCAAGUGAUUCAAAUUGUGGAACAAAAUGAGUAGAAAAAUGAUAUUCAUGUUAUUUGGCUCAAUUUGAGACCUGACCCAUGAAAUGAAAAGAAAUUUCGAACAUCUUGUUCAGGAAACACGACAAUGAACAUGUGGCGGUAGUAUUUUUAAAUUGUAAAAAAAACAAGCAAAGUCUGAAAAUCAUGAGAUUUGUAGUUAUGUGAUGAUAUAAUACGUGGAAGCUGUGGAAAAAAAUUGGAAAGGUUUUGCACAUUUCAUCAUGUACGAUGAUUACAAACCGAAGCAUAUCAGAAGAAGAAUAGUAACUUUGAGAAGGAUUCGAUAAAAUUUAGAGUCGAAGUGACGGUCGAGUUCGGUUUGACUACAAAACUUUUUGUAUAGUCAGUAGAGAACAUAUCUUAUUUCGUGUGAAAAUUUGGUAUUUUUUGAAACUGUUGGAUAUUUUUAAUUUUUUUUUAAAAAAACUUUGCCGAGUGUCCUAGGGUAGACACUCGGCAAAGAAAAACUUUACCGAGUGCCCGCCUAGGACACUCAGCGAACCUUUUUUUAAACCUACCGGCUCCGGCCGGCCCAGCCCACAAACACCACCCGCCCCCCGCCCCCGCGCCUUCUUCCUCACGCCGCCCCCGCCCCCCACCCGUGCCUCCGGACCGCCCCCUCCUCCCCCUGGCCUCCCCUCACGCCGCCCCCCUCCUCCCCUAGCUCCCUCCACCGGCGGCCCUCCCUCCCCCGGCGCACAUCCUCCACUCCUCCUCCCCUUCCCUUCCCUCCCCUCCCCUCCCCUCUUCCUCCCCUGGCCGGAUCUGGCGCCCCUAGCUCCCCUUUCUUCCGCGGCCAGAUCUGGCGCCCUCCCGGCGGCGGGUCGUGGCGAUCGGGGCGGCGGCGGCGGAUCAGGCCGCGGGGCGGCGGCGGCGGCGGGUCGUGGCUACCGGGGCGGCGCCCUGCCCCUCCCCUCCCUCUCCAUCUCCGGCUGCCGUCCACCCCCUCCCCGGAUCCGCCCCCCUCCCCUCCGCGCGGCCAGCCCCUCCUCCCUCUCCGGCCGCCGCCCCGGCCCCUCCUCUCCCUUUCUCCGGCCACCGCCCCGCCCAUCUUCUCUGGAUCCGGCCGGAUCCGGCCGCCGCACAGCCCCUCCUCCCCGGAUCCGGUGGGCGCGGACUUCGUGGUGGUGGCGCCGGAUCCCUCCCCUCCCUCUCCAGAUAACUCCCUCCACUCCUCCGCUCUUCCCCUCUCUCGCGCGGCGGCCUCUCUCCGGCCGCCGCCCCGCCCCUCUCCCCGGAUCCGGGGGGGGGGGGACUCCGCCCCUCUGCCCCGGAUCCAGCUCCCCGACCCGCGAGUGGGGCGAGCUUGCUCAUGCGGUCGACGUCGAGGCCAGGGUGUGGUGGAGGUGGUGGCCGGCGGGUGUGGUGGUGGUGGCGGCGGCGGGCAUGGCGGCGCGGAGGCAAGGCACGGCGGCCGGUGGGAGGCACGGGUGCAAGGCGUCGACGGCAGGAGGCAAGGCACGGCAGCAUGGGAGGUGGUGCUGUGGUGGUGGUGCUGGCGGUGGUGGCGGCGGCGGAGCAGGAUGUGGUGGUGGCGGAGGAUGUUUUUUUUUCAAAAAUUUGUUGCCGAGUGUUUUCUCGGCACUCGGCAAAGACUUUACCGAGUGCCCGACACAAAACACUCGGCAACUCAGUGUUUGCCGACUGAAAAAUUGCCGUGUGCCGUUUGCCGAGUGUUACACUCGGCAAACGGUUCGCCGAGGGUUUUUUGCCCUUCGCCGAGUGCCCCUAGCACUCGGCAAUUUCACUAUCUCCCGUAGUGGUGGCUGGACUUAUGGGGGGAUCAUUGAUGGGGGACUAGUUGGAUACUUUUUGGCUGUUUUGGGAGUCCUUGGCAGCGGCUUCUCAGGGCGUACGUAGCCCAUUGUAGAUUCCAGCCGAGAAGAUUAAGGAAUUGUGACUGCAACCAUGUUACUUUUCUAGGACUCUGUUUCUGAUAUUGUUCCCGCUGCAUCUUUUCAUCCCCAUGGUGAAUGUUGCUGUUGAUCUGUAGAUUGGAUUUGUUCCUCGGUAGCUUUAUUAGAUUUGUGCUGAAUGAUAAUCUCUGCCUGUGAUAUUUUUCUUCAUUGCGGAUGUGUGCCGAGUAUUAUCCCCUUUGUUCAUUCUGUUGGCUUUUUUUAUUGUCUCUGUACUCGGCUGUUCAGCUUGUGCAGCUAAUGAUCUAAUGUAUUUUGUCGUAACUAUGUAUUUUUCGGAUGUGUGCCGAGUAUUAUCCCCUUUGUUUAUUCUGUUGGCUUGCUUUCAUUGAUCUUAAGAUAACUGGUGCUAUAAAUUCACACUAGCUGAUGCACUUGCAAAUAGCUAUGUAAAUAUGAAAAGAAGUAUUUUUUUAUCCUUUUGUUUGUUUGGCAUCAUAUCUGUUUAAAUGGCAUAGCAAUAAGAAUUUUUUGUUUUUGGGGAAUCAUAUCUGCUUAAAUGGUAUAGAAAAUGCUGAGUGCACUGUCAAAUAGAUUUUCCAGCAGUCUGCUUUCAGUUGUUUUUGCAAAUCCUCACAGGCCAGUGAACUGACUUUGUUUUUACCACCCCAUGCCAUUUAAAUGACUAAAUCAGUCAGCCUAAUACUAUAUAUGGUCAUGCUAUGAUCUUAUUUCUUGAAGCUCUAUAGGUCAACCCAUAAGGGUAACUUAGUUUUUCCUAUUCUGGCUGGGGAAGUGGAUACGAUGGCUAUCCUUGGUAGAGUUAAAUACAUUGGCGGCUCUUAGCGCGCCAAUGUGGCACCACAAUAUCGAACAUAUGUAGAAACCCCCUUGUUUUUUCUCAUAUCCCUCUCUCUCAGCGUCCUCUUCUCUUCUUCUCCUCUGUCUCCUCCCCUCCCAUCGCGUGCUUUAUUGCGCCGCCGCCAUCCGCCUCCAUGUAUGAACACGUCGUUUGUCAUGAAGAAGCAGUUGAUGAGGCAAUCAAGCAUGUGGUGCACAAGGUUCUUCUGCUGGCCAAGUCCGAGUCGAACAGCCGCGCAUUCAUUGGGGAAGCACGCGCCAGGCAUCACCAGGCUCCUCGUGCCCCUACUCUGCUCCAAGGACUCGGUGCUUCGACGCGCUGCUUUCCCUGUCCGGCGAGCGGGGAUCGUUGGGAGAUGAUCGAUGGAGGAUGGAGCUGAUCCUCCUGUACACGGUGCCGGUGGGGAGCAGGGAGCUGCGGAGCAGGUCCACGGGCGGCGCCAUUACAGCAGGUGCAGGCUAAGGGUAAUGAGCAGAUCGAGGCGAUGGAGGAGGACCCGCACGAGGUGCAGCUUCUUCGCCUCCUGCGCAAAGUCAGCGCCCAAGCAGCCGCUGAGGGACAGGCCGAGGCUUAGCUCGAUCUCAUCCGACUAAAUGGUGGCUGCACUCCCACAGUCCCACUGGUGCUCCUCCCUUCUGUCCGAACCUGCCGAGGAAAUCCCUCGAUGCCAUGGGUCCCGGCUGGACGACUACUCCUCCCACAGAUUGACUGAGGAAGAAGAGCUUCUCAGUGUCCAAAAAUUCAGUUACACUGGAAACAGCAACCAAUUACGUUCUUCCGGCUCAGCCAAGCCCCAAUCUCCUUGCUUCUGUGCGCCCCUGCUAAAUAUUCCAGAAACCAAUCUGGUUAGUUGUUUUUUCACAUUUUCAGUGCAUGCCGGUGCUGCUGUGUGCGGCAUGCAUGGAGUUGUCGUGGGAGUGCACGGUGGCUUAGCUGGUGCGCCAGUGCGCGGGCACGAACACAACGGUGAAGAUGGCAGGGCCAUCUCAAAGCUCCUGAGCACCUGCACGCGUCGCUGAGCAGGACAUGCUGCGACGGUGGGCGAGCGCUGCUAACGCCCUGGGGAAGAGCAGUGGGUGCAGAGAGAGGGAGCGAGGGAGAGGGGUUCUUGUAUAUGUUUGCUAGCGUGGCACCGUUUACGGUGCCCGCCUAAGUGGCAUUCACGUGUCAUUCAUCCCAAAUGGUGUUGCAAGGUUGAACCUAUUGUGGGAGGCUUUUGGUUUCCCUUGACAGUAUCACCAGUGAUAUCACUGCGUUCUGGUUAUGUAUGAAACACUUGUCCUUUUAAAACCUUUCUGAAUUUAGAAACGAAUUUGAAACAUUACCCUCAUUUCCAUGUUUUUCUAUCUUUUGUCCCUGUAAAAUCAAACUAAAUUUGAAUUAUUAUGUUCAGAACUACAAGCUGAUUUACUUGUCCCAUUUGCUAAUAACAGGGCCUUGUGAUUUCUAAUGAACAUUGCAGAGCAUGUUAUAAAGCGUAUGCAUGAACACCAAGGGGAUGAAACCAUUGGUAUAUUUCUCACAACCUUUUGAACUUAUCAUUUAGCAUAUUUGUGUUCUAGUGUGACGUUUCAGCCACGAGACAUGAGAAAUGUUAGCUAUGGAUUUUGGUUAUUCAUCAUGGGUUCACAGAUUUGUUUUUCUCUAAAAGAAUUGGGAAGUAGCUUUCUUUCUGGGUAUAUGUGGGGAAAUGCAUAUGCAAUCUUUUAUUUAUUGAGGUGACUGUAAAAUUCUUGUCUGACUGAAUAUGCGAUUUCAACCUACAUGCUAUACUUAGGGAAAUUUGUGAAUCUCCUAAUGUCUGCUGCAUGGCAUGAAUGCAUAUUUUACUGGUCCAUAAUGUGAAGUUCUGUAUAUAAACUUCUCGUGUUGACCCUUUAGAACAUGCUAACUGGAGAGUUUUCUAGAGUAGUUAAACAAGAGAUUUAGUUAAAUCUGCACACAUAGGUGGGGCCUGGCAUACCCUAAGAAUCGGCCUAGCCGGUCAGCCCAUUAGUAAAAAAAAAAGCACCGCAGUCAGCAGUCCCCACGUUGGUCUUCCUCGAGUCGCGACUCGCGAAGCUCCCAUCCUCCGAGUCCAAGAUGGUGGACUGUGUCGAGCGCGGGGCGGGCGAUUAGUUGCCCGGCCGCCGGCGGGGGAUGGCCGGACGGCCAGAUCGCCGACUCCUCUAGUCCUCCCUCCAGCCUCUGCGCUUCUUUCACAGUGGAGCUAGCGGCGAGGCGCCCGACCGACACCCUUCUUCCCAAAUCCCGGCAGCCCUACCUCGAUUUGGCCUCCUCCGAUCAUUUGAUAAUCAAUUUGAUGAAAUUAAUAUGGAGUUGCUUUCUUGUAUGGUUGCCUUCAAUCCUGCUAAUUCAUUUGCUUCAUUUGAUGCACAAAAGAUACAUAGACUUGCUAUAUUUUUAUCCACAAGACAUCACAAGCACGGAUUUGCUAAAACUUGAAUUCCAGCUCGAUAUUAUAUUGAUGAUGUGAGAUAGGAUGAUAGUUUCAAAGGCCUACAAGAUCUUGUUAACUGAGACUCAGUUAAGCUUGUUGAAACAAACAGGCAUAAUAUUUAUGACUUGGUUUACUUGCUUCUCAAAUUGGUAUUGGUUCUUCUUGUGGCGACAGCUAGUGUUGAAAGGGAUUUUUGUGCAAUGACUUUGAUCAAGAGUAAGCUAAGAAAUAAGAUGGGUGAUAGUCUUUUGGAUGAUUGUCUUAUCACAUUCAUUGAGAAAGAUAUUUUCUUUGAAGUGGAUGAAGAAGAUAUAAUUAAGACUUCAUAUCCAUUAGAAAUCGUAGGCUGGAGAAGAAGUAAUAUUUUAAUUUUCUUUGAACGUUAGGUCUGUAAGCUUCUUUUAAACUAUCUACAUUAUAAUUUAUGGACCUUUUAAUUUAACCGUUGAAUUCAUGAUAUUAUGAGAUUUUUUUAUCUAUGUUAUUAUUGUUUACCGAUUUAUUACCAAAUUAUUAGUUUGAUCUUACAAUAUUGUAUUUUGGAUGAUUGGCUCGGCAUACUCUAAGUUUAAAUCCUAGCUCCGCCACUGUUUGCACAUUAAUGUGGCUUAUAUGUGUGGAGUCACUUAACCUAUGCACUUGGACCUCCACUCCCUUAGGUUUUAUGAACCUAAUUUGACAGCCUGCUCGUCUUUUAUUUUCUACCAAUCAGCUAGGAACGAACAUGGUGAUGUUUGCAUCUCUGCCAUCAAUGGCUUACAUGUCAUUAUGUAUCACAUUAGCAAGUCUUGUUUUGUUAUUGGCUGGGAUGACGGGGACUCUAGCUGGAAUUGAAUCAAAGUGGUAGAUCACAGGGUAUUCAUUGCCAUGUAUUUCUGCAGUUGCAUGGACUUGCAUCAAACGGACCUUCCUACUUAUGUGAUUGUCCUAUAUGAUCUCCUUUGAUUUCAUUUGCACACUGUAAUCACAUUAGCUAGAACACUCGCUUUUUGCUUCAAAUUUGAAAUUCAUAUCAUGAUGGACUAGAACGCUGAAUUUCUUGAUUGCUGAGUUACUAAUCACAUUGUGGCGCUGCCAAAGAAGCUGGACUCUUCAUUGUUGUUGCCUUGUGGGCUGCCGUGUGCAAAGAACAAGAGCGCACGGUAUUAUAAUAGCAGAGCAGAACACAGACAAGCGACAAGGAGCGGAGCAGAGCAGAGCACAGCCAGGCACAAGCAGUAGAGUAGAGCAGAGCAACCGGGAGAGGAGAGGGCACAUAUGCAGAGUAGAGCAGAGCCAAGCGCAAGCAUUCAUGCACUCAAGCAUGCAGCAGAGGUGUAGCAAGGCAAGCACAAGCAGCAGAGCAGAGGGAAGGGAAGGCUGGGAGAUGAAUAGGCGAAUAGUUACCUGGACAGAGCAGAGGGAAUGGAGAUGAUGCAGAUGCUUCCGGAGACUCGAGAUUUGGAGAGGAACAAGGCCACGUUGUGAACAAGGUCUCCUUUCUCUUCUCUAUUUCCCGCGCAAGUACUUGUGCAUAGUGGCUGCCUCAUCCUCCAGGACGUCCACUUCAACCUGAGGCGGGUGCCACAGACAUCCUGGCUAUGCGACGGCUACCCCCAGCACACCCCCGGCGCCUAUGAACCAUGAUCCUAAUACUAUAAAUUGUCAACCUUGUAAUCUUAUUUCAAGCAUGCUCUCUAUGUCAACCUGUAAGGUUAACUUCGUUUUUCCUUUUCUGGGUAGGGGAGUGGAUAUUGCUGUUAUUUAUAUUAUGUUGAUAUUGGUUUCCACAUGUCAUUCACCCCAAAUGUGUUGCAAGGUUGAACCUAUCAUCGGAGGAAUUUUUUUCCCUUUACCUUUAUAUCACUACGCUCUGGUUAUGUAUGAAACACUUGUCUUCUUAAAAACCUUAAUUUAGAAACAAAUUUGAAACACUAUCUUCAUUUACAUCCUGUAUGUGUUUUCUACCUUUUGUCCUAUAUGAUCUGCUUUGAUUUGAUUUGUGCAUAGUUUUUUCAAUUCAGACCUGGUGAUUUCUGAGGUUCAUGUUGUGCUGAUAAGCAGCCUACUAUUCAGUAACACUUUCAUGUGGCAUGUUCAUGUUAGCUAGCUAGAAACACUGCUUUUAGCUUCAAAAUUCAAAUUCAUGACAUGAUGGACAUUGACAAUGAAUUUCUUGAUUGCCGAGCUAUGUACACUGUAAUUCAGACCUGGUGCUUUUAGUUUUUUUCUUGAUUGCCGAGCUAGAAACACUGUGCUUUUAGUUUUUUCAAUUCAGACCUGGUGAUUUCGGUUUUUUCAAUUCAGACCUGGUGAUUUCUGAGGUUCACGUGUCACACCGAUUUUAAGAACAAAAUCGAGUGCAUUAAAUAUACAUGUACGCUAGGAUCAGGUUACACACAUGUACGACAUAAGCGAAUAUCAAAGACAAUGCCAUAACGAAAUAAAGAGAGUAUUAAUCAUUAUUACAUGACCGAAAGUCUCAAAUAAACCACAAAAUCUAUUUAUUACAUAGCGGAACUUCUAAGAUAGCAACGUCUCCACAGGCAGCUGACUGAAGAACUGUAUGCCUAGAACUCUUCAAAAUCGUGCAGGUACUCCUCCAGAUUAGCUUGGUAUGAACAACGGUUUUGCAAGGGUGAGUACACUUAUGGUUGGUACUUAAUAAGUCGUGGGAAACAAUGUAGUGUAAGGCAAAUCAAGGUAUGGCUAAGGCUUAAACAGCAUCAGCUUUUAAUUUAGUUGGUCAAAUUUUAUUAGCAAUUAAUUAGACGUAAAUUUAUACCACCCGAAAUUAAACAAGAACAUGAAUAAAAUAAUAACAUAACCAUAAAUGAAAUGACAACAAUUUAAAUCCAUCUUUUCAUAGCAUUAUCAUGUGAGGGUCCAGUCCGUUCUUAACCGUGAGCACCGCUGAUCGAUCAGUUUUACACUCUGCAGAGGUUGUACAUCUUUACCCACAAGUCGCGUAAAAGUUCAAAAGAAUUUUGGACCCAACCAUGCGGUAUUUGCAAGGCACCAUACCACACUUCCAAGGUGUGAUUGCAUAUGAACGCUACGAGGCCUUUACAAAGAUUCAUUAGUAAGUGGUAACCCGCUAAGGUUUCGGUAUUUGGCGUGCACAACCUAUCACAGGCCGCUAAUGCAACGACUCAGUCCCCCCUCUUGCCUCAUCACGAGUAAGAUUACCCCAGACUAAGGUUUCUAAUUAUUCAGCCAAGAUCAGAACCAUUUAGUCUUGUGGUAGCACUGUUUUCCUGGGUGGUUCUCCAUGUUCCGAUUAAACAUAAUGGUCUUGUAUUAAUGGAAGGUAUAACAUAAAUAAUACCAAAUUAAUAAUAAUUCAGAUUAAAUCACCAUAACCAUAUUUGAGCACUAAGCAUGAGCUACCCAACAUAAAUUUAACCCGGUUGGUCAAGGCAAGGUAGAUAAAGUCUAGGAAAUUCUUAAUUGGGACCCAUCAAGUUUAAAUUAUACUUUGCAUGGUAUGUUGCAUAGAACAUGAAAGUAAAUGUGAAUAGGACUGAAAAGGAGUGAUUAGGGACACGACUUGCCUUUUUAACCUUGUUCUUGCUGUUCGUACUCUUCGAAAACUUUGAUCUUCAAAUCCCUUGAACUGCUGACCGUCUACACGCGUCACACGACCACAUACAAGCAAACAAAUAUAAUACAUAAGAAAACAGUACACCAAUCAUAAUUAAAUAGAAGAAACAAAUUUGAAAAGCUAUUCUACGCAUUAAAACGAAAACACGGAUACAAGGAACGUUAAAAACGGAGCUACAGUGCAAAAACUACGCUUAAAACAAGAUGCAGGGGUAUAACUACGAGAAACCAAACUUCCAGGGAUUUAAUUUUAAAUAAUUUUGAACUGCAGAAGGGGCAGCAGGGCAAAACGUAGAAAAUGCAGGGGCUUAAGCGCAAAAGCAUGGCUGCUGACUCAGCUGACUUGAUGUGGAUCGUCGGAUGGCGAUCCGGCGGCCGGCAGCUGCUGCGCUGACGUCAGCGACGGCGAGCGCCGGCGAAAAACGGCAGUUCGCCGGAAUCGCCCGGGAACGCGCGACUGGGUGCAGAUUUGAGCGAGGAUUAGACUAGCAGAUAGAAACGAGCGCAGUGAACUCAUUUGGGAUGCCUACGGCGAGGACUUGGCGACGGCAUCGGCUCCGGCGAGAACUUGCGGCAGGGAAACCAAAUAAAAUAAAAUAACACGGUUCAGAGAAGCGGCGCUGGAGGAACGCGAGCGAUUUUGCGUGCGAGCGGAAGAAAACACUGCGAGGAAGAUGACUGCGGGCCCUGCUUGUCUGCGGCAGGAGGAGAGCUGCGUGCGAGAAGAACCUGGCCACGAUCUGGGCCGUUGCCUUCGAUCUGGGCCGAGGCAAGCUAGCUGGCCCGCUGCUGCGGAAAGGUGCUGGGCCACGGGCGGAGCACAGCGUCGGGCCAGAAAGGAGAUGGCUGCUGCGAGGAAACAAAAGAAAAUGAACUGGGCUGCGACAGAGGAAAACUGGGCGUCGGCCAGAAAGAAGCUGCGUGCAGCUUGCUCUUGUUUCCGAACUAGAAACAGGAACUGACGGAAAGACAGAAAUCAAUUGGAGACUGAAACUGACGCCCCAGACUCUGAACUUCGAAAAAACAGGACAACCAGCCAACUGACAGAAAAAAAAAAGCUUAACAACCCAAAAGCAGUACACAACCACGAAACCAGGCCACAAGACUGAAAAAGCUUGAUAGGAACAUCUGGCGACUGAACCAAAAAACUACAGAACUGCAACUGAAGAACUAGAGAACAGAUAAAUAACUGAUUGAACUCUGAAACUGAAACACCAAAGAGCAGGAAGCUGACUGACGGAAAAUGCAAAACAGCAACCCAAGGUGAAACACAAAUUCUUCUUCAAGCAUUCAAACAAAGAGAUAUGCAACAGCAUGAAUGCUCAAUAAAAUCCUAUAUUUCAUUAAUUAAUUAGAAAAAAUGCUCAAAUGCCUAGAAAAAUGCAAAAGUGACCUUAUAUGCCUUAAACAAGCAAAUUCGUUUCUAGCGAUUUUUGGUAAAAUGCAAAAUUAGAGAUUUUGGGUGUUACAUCAUGUUGUGCUGAUAAGCAGCCUACUAUUCAGUAACACUUUCAUGUGGCAUGUUCAUGUUAGCUAGCUAGAAACACUGUGCUUUUAGCUUCAAAAUUAAAUUCAUGACAUGAUGGACAUUGACAAUGAAUUUCUUGAUUGCCGAGCUAUGUACACUGUAAUCACAUUGUGGGGCUGAUAAAAUAAGCAGCGUUGAGACACAUAACAAUUGAAUCUUAAGCUUCACACAGAAUCUGGACCAGUCAUCCUCAUUCCUGUCAUGCUGGAAAUGUCUUUGAUACAUUUCAAUCACAGGCAAUUGAAUUCGUACUGGGGAGGAUGGCAAUGGUGCAUGAAGAGAGAUCAAUGUGGCAAAUCUCACAUUGUUCAUUACCAGGUAUCUCCGAUUUCUGGUUAUUUUAAAUUUACCUUGACAUGUGACUUAUUGAGGUAUUGUAUUUCAUCUAAUGGUAGUUCUGAAUUUAUGGUAACCUUGGAUGGGGUUUGUCACUUUAUACACGCACGGACUUACAAAGGACAGCAAAUGAGUAUAUUUAGAGGGCUCCUGUCCAACCAUGGACUAUACUUAUGUACCCUUUUUUGACAUGGUAAUUUGAGGUUAAUGGAAAAGUAGCGAUAGUCGCCUCCAGCGAAGCUACCUUCUUCGAAAGCUCCGAGGCUGCUUUCUCGCUCUUAGCAAGCCGAUCCCUCGUAAUCAUCGAAGAGUAAGAGACCUACAGAUUUUAAAAACCAAGUUACCAAAAAUAACGAAGUAAAAGACAACACUCGCAAGACAAACCACCAAACUAUCUCAUAAUUGUACCUUCUUUACGAGGUUCGCCUCCAAGUUAAAGAGCUCUUCCAAGAUCAUUGACUUCACAGCUUGCUGAAAAUCUAUGCGCCAAAGGAUAUAGUCGUAAGCAUAAAAUAAAAAUUGGUAAAAACCAAGGACAGCAAAGCCAUCUACAAGCUGUUCUUACCCUCAUACUUUCGCACCUCAACGGCGAUCGGAACAACCUUCUCUCUAGCCUCGCCCUUAGACGCCACCACAAUCUUCCCGCCACACAAAUCCACAACCCCUCCUUUACCUUUGCCCUCUCCCGAAGUCGUCGUGCCCGCCUUCUCCACCCUUUUUGAACCGCCAACAUCUGCAUAGCGCUCGCAACCUUCACCUUCAGCCCCCCAGACCAAAGACAGGUUGUGAGGAUUAUAAACCCUACCUUCGGCGCAUGUAGCUAGAAUCUCCGUGCGCCCGCUCAAGCCCAGACACUCAUUCAGUCCCUGAAGCCCCGCCGGCAACCUCUCACCUACAUCAUAACAUUCAACUUUUAGCCUCACAUGAUCCUCACAACUAACCUUACCAACGCCCCCCAUAGUUUCUUCCAAGUCCUUCAAAAAUUUCGUUGAGGCCUCACCACAAUCAAAGAACCGUAGCAUCGAUAGAAACACCUCUACAUGCUUACCAGAUCUCACAGCUUCGGCACACCCACCCUUUGGAUCAGAUGAGAACGCAUCCACAAGCUUCGCCUUUUCGGUGGCAAACCCCCUCUCAAGUUUCCCAACAUCAGUCAAGAGAUGUUGCGCGCUCUUAAACUUCGAGCUUAUGGAAGGCACCGUGAUCUUGGUACCAGCUGCCGAAGACGCGUCAACCUUGGCACCCGUAACAGUAACAGGAGCAAAUCGAGGUUUCUUGGCGCCUCUUUUGAUCCGUGCGGCGGGCCCGGUGGAUGAAGGUGCAAGAGCUGGAACCUCCUUAGGAGGGCGCAUAGAGACAGGAACAACAUAUGCCGGAUUGCUCAAGUCGCCAGACGAAGCUGUCGACCACGAUGGCAACAUAGCAGACGAAGCCCCCGCGGUCAUUUCCUUCCUUUUUUGCGCCUCCAAAUUCAAGGUCUUUUGCUUCGCCUUAGCGGUCACUUGCAAUUCAAUAGUGAGCUUCACCAUGGGUACGAAGUCAAAUUUUGCCUUUUUCCUCUGCUCAAGACUAGCACCGCGACGGCGCCUCUUGCCCGUAACUUUGGGGUGAGGCAGAACCACAAUAUCAUACAAGUCAAAAAUCUAAGAUGAUGACAUUCCAUUUGUAUCCAUGAUUUAUAUUGUGUUCCUUGAAUAUCCAUUAAAGUCUACUUGAAUUGAUUUGCAAUUAUGUGAAUUGUAUGUGAAACUCUUUCCUUGUAUGGUUAUUCUAAAGUUGUCCCUAGUCGGAGUUCAUGUGAGGACACAUGAAUAUUAGACUAGCACAUGUAUUAGUUGAUGACUAUGUUUCACAAGUCAUGGACAUGAAGAUGUGGAACUAAUAAUGUGGGCACAUGUGGAGACACGUGCUAGGACUGACCCAACACGAGAAGUAGUUCUCUCUUUAUACAACAUAUACGCUUUGUCCUUAGACCUGAGAUUGUCGCAUGUACUCAAGAUGUGGAUCGACUUACUUAGGGGCUAUCAAAUUCUACGCCGUAACAGGGUAGUUAUAAAGGUAGCUUUCGGGUUUGUCAAGAAGCAUGCUAUGAGACAUGGUCAAUCAAGAUGGGAUUUGCCCCUCUCUGAUUGAGAGUGAUAUCUCUGGGCCCCUCGAGUGAUCGGAUCCGAAAAUGCAUGGCCAUGCUACAUACGAUUAAGAGUUAGCCUACAAAAGGAUUCCGAAUCAUAGGAUCGAGAAAGAGCGGUCGGCUUGAAGCUAGACCAAAUAUCGUGAGGCAAAGGGAAUAGCAUGUAUAUAAUGUUGUGAUGGUUCGUCUGAUAUGAUCUUCGUGUGCGUAUAGGAGUUGGCACGUCUUGCUAGAGGUCGCUACCGACUAUUGGGCCGAGUAGGAGUACUCAGGCCAUGUCUAUACGUAUCCGAACCCAUAGGGUCACACACUUAAGGGGCUGGAAGCCCAAUUCGGAUGUGAUCCGAAUUGGAUUAGGUUUAGAAGUACUAAUGGGCCUUGGACCUAGAGGCCCGUUAGGAACCUCUAUAAAUAGAGGGGUGGGGGCGCCCUAGGGUUUACACCUUUUUGGUGAAACACAUCUGCCGCGCCUCCCACGCCUUCGCCUGUUGCAACUCGCGGACCUAGCAGUCCGGCUUGCGACGCUUCCUCCCUGCACGUGUGGAUACCUUGGAAGUGUUGCUCCUGCAGCACUUGGACGAGCCGCCAACGAGCCACGACGAGCCACGAUGAGCCGACGAUGAGCCGCGGCACGAGGGGGAUCUUGCUGCACGUGGACGAGCUGCUGAGGAGCUGCUGGACGUCGAUGUGUUCGACUACGUACGACUACGCUGAUCGACUUCGCUGCAUCAACGCGAAUCUACAUCUUCCGCAUCAUUGCAUCGAGUGGUAAUCCCGUGAUCCUGAUACGGCAGUUUUCCUAGUUUACGCGGUAGAAAAUUUUGUUUUGUGCUAGUGUAGCCUAACUCAUAUCCCAACAACGUGUGCUAUAGGUCACGCAAGCCUGAAAAUGGCCACACCGGACACCGGGUACGAAAACAUGGGGGAUGGACCGAACAUUUGAAAAUGGCCUCCAUAUGUGUUUUCGGCUAUGAAAAUGUGUGUUAUAGGUCACAGAAGCUUGAAAACGGCCGCACCAGCCACUAGGGACGAAAACGUGGGGGAUGGACCAAAGACAUAAAAAAUAGCCUCCAGACGCGUGUUCGGCCAUGAAAACGUGUGGUAUAGGUCCUGGAAGGCCAAAAACAGCUACACCGGCCACCUGGGACGAAAAAGUUUGUGUAAGACCGAACACUUGAAAAUAGCCUCUGGACGCGUGUUCGGCUAUGAAAAGGUGUGUUAUAGGUCACACGAGCCCCAAAACAACCACAGCGAACACCAGCUACAAAAACAUGGGGGAUGGAUCGAAUAAUUGAAAAUGGCCUCCAGACGUUUGUUCGGCCAUGAAAUCGUGCGUUAUAGGUCGCGGGAGCCCGAAAACGGCCACACCGGCCACCGGGAAUGAAAAUGUGGGGGAUGGACCGAACAAUUAAAAAUGGCCUCCGGAUGUGUGUUCGGCCAUGAAAACGUAUGUUAUAGGUCACGGGAGCAUGAAAACGGCCGCACUGGCCACUGGGGACGAAACGUGGGGGAUGGACCGAAGACGUGAAAAUAGCCUCCAGACGCAUGUUCGGCCAUGAAAAUGUGUGCUAUAGGUCAUGCAAGGCCAAAAACAGCUGCACCAGCAACCGGGGACGAAACCAUGGCUGUCAAACCGAACGCUUGAAAAUCGCCUUCGGACGCGUGUUCGGAUAUGAAAACAUGUGUUGUAGGUCACGCGUGCCCGAAAACGUCCACAACGGACACCGGGUACAAAAACGUGGGGGAUGGAUCGAAUAACUGAAAAUGACCUCCGAACGCGUGUUCGGCCAUGAAAACGUGUGUUAUAGGUUGCGGGAGCCCAAAAAUGGCCACACCGGCCACCGAGGAUCAAAACGUGGGGGAUUGACCGAACAAUUAAAAAUGGCCUCCGAUUGUAUGUUCGGCCAUGAAAACGUGUGUUAUAGGUCAUGGGGGCCCAAAAAUGGCCGCACCAGCCACCAAGGACGAAAAUAUGGGAGAUGGACCAAAGACAUGAAAAUGGCCUCCAGAUGCAUGUUUGGACAAAAGUGUGUGCUAUAUGUCGUGCAAGGCCAAAAACAGCUACACCAGCCACCGGGACAAAAACGUGGGUGUUUGACUAAACAAGUGAAAAUGGCCUCCGGAAGCAUGUACGGCUAUGAAAAUGUGUGCUAUAGGUAAUGGAAGGCUAACAAAAGCUACACCGGCCACCGGGGACAAAAUCAUGGGUGUCAGACUGAACACUUCAAAAUGGCCUCCGGACGCGUGUCCGGCUAUCAAAACGUGUGUUAUAGGUCAUGCGAGCCCGAAAACAACCACACUGAACACCGGGUACAGAAACAUGGGGGAUGGACUGAAUAACUGAAAAUGGCCUCUAGACGCGUGUUCGGUCAUGAAAACAUGUGUUGUAGGAUGCGGGAGCCCGAAAACGGCCACACCGGCCACCAGGGCAUGGACCAAACAAUUGAAAAUGGCCUCCGGAUGUGUGUUCGGCCAUGAAAACGUGUGUUAUAGGUCACGGGAGCCCAAAAAUAGCCGCACCGACCACUGGGGAUGAAAUCGUGGGGGAUGGACCGAAGAUGUGAAAAUGGCCUCCAGAUGCGUGUUCGGCCAUGAAAACGUGCGCUAUAAGUCAUGUAAGGCUAAAAAUUGCUACACCGGGACUAAAGCAUCCCCCAUGAGUUACAAUAAAAGGAUUGUAUCCUCUACUCAGUCGGAUGUACUGUGUAGGUGAGAUGGUAAGGAAGCUAUGCGCGAGGUUUGAGGUUGUGGGUUGAAAUCCUACGCACCGCGCGCACACGCGCAUAUUUUGUGUGAAAAAUCAUGUGACUUGUGAUCGGCCAAGGAGAAGUGGGUGCAGCUGUGGCUUAAGUGGCUGAGGCACGCUGCCAUAGACAUCUCCGAUUUGCUCGAAGACUACCAAGACACUAGCAAUAACAAGAACUACUGCUCUUCCUAGCAGACUCUUUACAACCACUUUAAAGCUGUGCAUUUCUCAAUGUAAUUUCGUAGAAGGCAAUCGAUCCAACCAAGCGACUAAAUCAUUUGUUCUUGCCAAUGAUGUACAUCAGGUUUUCUAUAUGAAGGACAUGUCUAGCAAACCUAAGAUUUUAGAAGAAAAAGAAAAAUUAUGGGAGUCAAUAAUAAAUCAGGCCAAUCAGGAGAUUAUAGUAAGCUCGAUGGUAUGCCUCCAUUCGAUGUCGAAGUUGGCCCAAGCAUCAUGUUAGCCAAAGAUCAAAUGUUCGUGCAUUGCUACGGUAAAGAUCAAUUGUGUCUUUUAAACCCAUGGAAUUUUUUAUCUAUGUUUUUAUUACACUUAAUGGAUGUCUACACAUUUGCUAGAAAAUCAAAAUAAUUUUGACUUAAUUAUUUCUUUCAACUCAAAUACUCAUUAAAUUUCUACCUUUUUAUUUAAGCAAGAGAGUUGCUCAAAAAAUGGAUACGUAACCAUGUUGUAUCAUACAAAGCAACCACAUUUCACAUAUAGUCUGGCUUAGCAAACACCAUUGUUGUCUUAACAUAGUGUUCAUGAGUUAGUAGACAUGGAUCUAUUUCUAAUUGCAAGUAGUGCAGCGUACAACCAGCCUGCACCGCCGCAGCUCAAUAUGCGAUAAUUUUUUAUCUUCCCAUGUAAUUUUUCUACUCUAGUACAUAUUGAACUCCACAUAAAUGUCAUGUUCUUUCACGCCACAGACGGUUUCUAAAGUUUGGAACUAAAUAGAUAGCCAAAAAUUUUAAAAAAAUAUUUAUAUGGAUACAUGUAUGUUCUUUGCAAACUAACAAUAUUGUUUACAAUAUCAAAAGGAAUAUGGCUAUGAUCAUUGCCGCAUAUGGCAGGUGAUGGUAGAUGCCGUAUGGGGUUUCUUUAACUUAAUUGUAUAAUAAGCUGAAAUACAUUUUCUAUUUGCAAAUGAAUCAUAGCUGAAAGUGGUGGGAUUGUAGAACCGCCGGCCAUCGUGUCCUUGUAGGACCGCUGCACGAGCCUGUGAGCCACCAGCCACCAUGCGCCCAAGGGCCAUCACCACGCCAUAAGAGGAUGCUGUCUACCCGGUUUCGCGCGCCUGUGCUAGCUGCCUGAACCUGGGCCGCCGCCGGUCGCCUGCCCAGCCGCGCGUUGCGCCAGGGUUUUGCUGGUGACGACCAUGGCCUUCGCGAUCAAAUUAAAAAGUUAUCAACUGCAAAGUAUUAGGUCUCGUUGAGCUCUACAAUUUUGAUAUAAAGUUUCUAUUCAUCCGAGAUCAAAUAAAAAAUUUGAUACUCAAAGCAUAAAUCCAUUAAUCUAGUCUUGCUAAUCCUUACCACCAAAUAAAAAACUAGCAUGUGUUGUGUGUUUGUGACCCUAAACGAUCACAAAUGAAUAACUUAUGGGCCUUGCUAGCGCCCGGAUGUCCAGGCCGGGGCACUAGCAUCAGACCCACGAGUAGCCGUCCGAUCAGGUUCGACACCACUUCAGGAUCUGGCUUAAAAAGAAGUCCCACCGAAACAUUGUUCCAUGUUGCAUGAAGCAACCCACUACCGUCGCCAGGUCUAGAGCAAGCACCACCUUCAAAUGUGCUGCUCACCCUAGCUAAAUAGGGGCAUUAAAAUAUUUCUCGCAUAUCCUUCUCAAAUUAAACAAAAUCGCAACAUCUGAAAAUUUUUACAGAAAACCAUGAAACAUAUCGAUUAGAUAGAUGUAACAAGAUGGAAUAUGGUAUAUGCAACAUAUAGGUUCCGAAAAGCAGAUGAAAUAUUAUGUAAUGAUUCUUGAAACAGUCAAGAAAAAUAGAUGUAACAUCUAAAAUUAAGAAAAGAAGCUUUAUGCAAAUUGCAAAAAGCUGAAACAAGUGGUUGAAACAUUUCAAAUCACCAAAUGCCACAUUUGAAAUGACCAGAUGAAACAUCACGAAAUCAAUUGCAACAGUUGAAGAUGAAAACAUUCAAAUGCCUUGCCUUUCUCCAAAUUUGACCCUCCAAGCAUGAGUCCAGCCAUUUGCACAUUAGACCCUUGGGAGGAGCUCACCGGAGAACAACAAGACCGUGUUAUCCAACAAUUUUCAGAUCAAAUUGCAACAUAAAGAACAAAGCAUUGCAACAUCUGGCAUCACGAGCUACAACAGCAACCAGUUAGGAUCAGGAGAAAGAGGGCAAACACAAGCCUAACAAUGAGUUAUAUCCGGUUUAAACAAGGAUAAAAAUGAGUGUAUUUUACACUCAUCAUGUUGUCUUUUCGCAGCUGUACCGCCUUUAGCGUGUUGUAUUGUUCCUAACACCAAGUCUCCGAGGCCCGAAAAAAUAAGGAAAGUGGUAGCAGCUCAGAAAUCGACUAAGUUUCUUUCCCCCUUUGGCUUUCCUACUAGGAUUCGGAAUCCUCUUUCGUAUGACAAUCUUAAUGAUCUCCCAUAGUCCAAAACUCACAAAAACAUCAAAAAUCCACCGAGAAUAAAUUAAGUAAAAAAACAUGCACACACAGAUAAUAAUAGUAAUCAUGUUUCAUUAUGAUUGCUAAGGUCAGACACAAUACAUAAACAUAUUAGACUGAGUGACCCACCUCACCUCAGAGUAUGCACCAUGUCUGAGUGACCCACCUCACCUUGCCAGGACACUGGUCCUGCCCUCGUGGUUCACGCGCCCUCGUGGUUCAGCAGUGGUCAGUACACAAAUCUAGCUGCCAGUCGGAUCCAAGGGCAGGCAUUUGCAUUGUGGUUGUGUUUGAACAUGGAGAUGUCAUUAUUAUUGUCAGGCACCAUACAUCCUCUCUCAGUUUCACUCCGCCUCACACACGGAUAGCACACCAGGGACCCGACACCAUGCAUGCCGAUUUCAUAUUAUUAAUAUUUAAUUUUUUUAAUGGUUGUUGAAACUAUAUUGUUGAUAUUUUUAUACAUAAUUUACGACCUAAUUUGGAUAUAUUUUUGAAAUAUUCCGAAAUCUUAAAUUCACACGUCUAGAGAUACAGUUAGUCCAAUCUGAUGUUUCCGAUUAUAAAAAUGAACAUAAAGAGAUAGGAAGCGAGAGACGUGAGGGGGAAAGUUAAAUUAGGGCCUAAGGGGUGAAGUUAGGGUUCCAGGUGAGCUGUCAUCACUACGUGUUUUUAAUCGAAAUUGGAAUGUCAGCAAUCGUCAGAUCUUGAGCCAACAGUUGAGACUGCCUCGGAAUGGUAAUUAGGUCUGCGCGAGCUUGCAUUGUGGCCUUCCUUGAAACCUUGGACAUAGGUGUUAUAUUAUUAUGUUCUUGCCAGCACACAGCAGUGAAGGACGACACAGUUGAGAUGUGCAUCACAUUUUCUAUAUGAAGGAUAUGUUUAGCAAACCUAAGAUUUUAGAAUAAAAAGAAAAAUCAUGGGAGCCAAAGCGCCACAUAGUUCUUCCAGGUAAAAAAAAAUCAUCCACUGGACCAGCACAUAGUAACGAUCCAAAAAGUCCAUAUUAAGAUUUUUUGAUAGCAGAAAAAACAUAAAAUGUCUAAUAUUUGUAGUAUUAAAAGGAAAAAUAAUAUAUUCACGUGACCUUUUUCCCGUAGCAAGGCACCGGUACGUGGUCAGACUUAAUGCACGAUGCCUAAGCAUCCAUUGGGCCUACCCUCGUGUGGAUCACGCGCAACAGGACACGGCUCACAAGCUAUGAUGUGCAGCAGUCGCUCAGAUGGCUGAAAGGUACCCUUAAUUUGAAUGGUACCAUAUAUAUAUAUAUAUAUAUAUAUAUAGUAAACAAGACAAACCACCGUUGAUACUACUUUGCACUACUUGAUACAUAUAUCUCCACCAAAAGCGAGGCACGUGGGGAGGAGAGAUAUGUGGUUGAUGGUGCGGGCACGUGGCGAGUGCACCGUACGAAAAUUUUGCUCGUGUCGGACGACUGAUGUGAAGCAUUACCCAAUCUUAAUUAUCUCCCAUAAUCCAAAACUCACAAAAACAUCAAAAAUCCGCCGAGAAUAAAUUAAGUAAACCAUGCACACACAGAUAAUAAAAUUGCUAAUAAGGCCAGAGACAAUACAUAAACAUAUUAGACUGUUCAUGACACAUAUCACGGUGGAUAGUGUCUGUGUCCUUAUUACAAGCAAUGAGAGAUGCUUGUCACCACACACACGCGCACAGAUGCACAACAUACAUAUAGUUGAGACCAACAGAUGGAUCAACUAGAGGUCACCCCAUAUGGUGAACAAUUUAUUGGAGAUAAACAUUAACAUAACUUGGCCAUAGCUUGAAGCAUAGCAACAUAUGCCUAUGAACGGCGUUCAUGCUAUCAUUUUAGGCUUGUCCGCUUCUUCCAUCUUAGCAAGCACUUCCAUUUCUACCAUCUUAGAAGCAACUGUCAAAUUGAGAUAUGGAAAUCCCAUUAGCGCAUGAGUUAAUUUUGCAGUGAAAAUAGAGUACAAGAUAUCUUCAUGAUGUAAGUAACAUGCCUGAAGUUGUGAGAUGGGAAGUGAAGUCAACAAAUUACAUUAACGGAAAUGCAUGGAAGGCCACACAUACGUAUUAGUCCAUGAUAUGCUACAAAGCUUGUAUGUACAUAUAGCAAAUUAAAUGCAUUAAUUGAAUAGAGUGAGUUUAGUGAAUUUACCAGAAUCGUCCAGAAAACAUGGGAAACAGCAAGUGUUCUUGCAGACUGCGUCGGUGCCACCCACAGCAAUACAACCAAAACAACAUGCUUUUGCCCGAGCGGCUGCGCAGCAGCCGCACUCUGCCGCGGUGGCCGAGUUAGCAUUGAGGCUCAAGAUGACCAGGCACAUGAUCACCAUCAAAGCGGUGGUAGUCCUCUUUCCCUCCAUUGCCUCCUCUUGCUGCUACCUUCCUUGGUUACCUAGCUAAGUUUAUUGGUUUUGUGUUGAGAGGUGAUUCUUGCAUUGAAUGGACGUUGCCGCGGCUGCAAUUUAUAGGCAGCUGCGCUAUGUGAUGAUAUGGACAAGGUGCAAAUGGGUGGUCCUGAUAUGGAUAAGGUGCAUGCGAAUGGCUGUCUACUUGUAUAGUGGCGCUCCAAUGUACAUACGUAUGUAUCUUAUGCAUGUAUACAGUUGAUGGAUGUACAUGUUUGUUGCACAAAUUAUUCUGAACCAACUCUUCAUAACAGGUCUUUGUUACCAAGUAAUUUUACUUUUGCACGUUUCAGCCGAGAGGCAGAAGAGAAUAUUUUACAGAGAGGGCAGAGAAGGAGGUUGGCGGAGGCGCCGUGGUAGGGUUCCCCGUGUCGCCAAGAUUUUUGCAUUUUAGAUGUGUGUAUUGAUCACUUCGUCGUGCUCGCGGGGCCCAACUCCAGGUUGUACCCCAGCAGACCACGUUCUGUUUCUCUGCCUCCAAUGAGCAUGCAUGCCUCCACAAGGACCACAAGACUUAGUAAAAAAGCUAAACUUUGCAACACGAUGUAUACAGAACGUUUUGAAAUGUACUCUCGUUAGGCAUUCACCUCCUUAACAAUCACUGCGACUGUAAAAGAGGUACAUCGACGCUAGCUAAAUAAACCACUAUAAGAUUUAGCAAGAGAUCAUUUUAUACAAUCCUGUAACGAAACAAUUUGACAAUUAUAGUGUCCAUAUAUUUUGACAAAAAAACGUUUAAAUUAUAUAAGGAGGUGGGCCCGAAAACGGUUGGAUUACAUCGAGAACGUUUUGAAACAGUUGGCGGAGCAGGAUUCUGGCGUGGAGCAUCUACAUUGUCGCGCGCGCGGACUGCCGGAGUAGGCACGCUCGACUUGUCCCAUCGCCAGCUAAAUGAUUUAGUACCGGAUGGUCUCUAGUACCGGUUGGAGCUACCGUCCACCAGGAGCUUUUCUAGUUUGGAACUGGUACUAAUGCUAAUAUUAGUAUCAGGUCAAAAACAAUCGGUACUAAGGCUAGGGAUGACACGUCAUUUUUCUAGUAGUGUGUGCAAUUGGUUUUGUAAUUAGUCUAUAUUUAAUACUUCUAAUUAGUAUCUACACAUUUUAUGUGACAGGGACUGAACUUUAGUCCGUGGAACCAAACACCCCAUAAGUAUGUUUGGUGCUGUAAGGAUUUCGGUUUUAUUUAAUUUCCUAGGCAUUUAAAUUUCUUUCUAAAAUAAGUUAAUGAAUCAUAGGAUCUCAUUGUUGUAUUCAAGCUGGUGCAUUGAUUUUGCCUAUAAAACCCGCCGCGGUCUUCGCAGCCCCCAUCAAACCCUAGCGCCCUUGCCACAAGCUCAGCACCGCUGCCGCCCGAGCUCGAGCACUAGCACCCACCCAUCGCCGUUGCCUUCCCGUCGAUGGGAUCACCGCCCGGAGCUUCGCAUCGUGGUAAGGAAGCCGCCCGUGAAGAUCCCAUGUGCUCCUAUGCCCUCUACCGCGUCCCCGAGUUCCCGGAGUUGCUAGUCUCCCACCGAGCCGACUCUCCGAGCUUCACGUCACUGGUGCCGCUCCGAAGACCUAGUUCGGUUCGCCAUGCACCUCGCUUCAUCCUGAGCUAAACCCCAUAAUGAAUGGUGGUCGGAUGCUCGCCGCCACGGCGCGUCGUCUUUUCUGUCGCCCGUGCAUUGCCUAUCCCCUUCCAGCCGAUUGCAGCUGUCCGAUCGCAAACCGGUGGCCCUGAUCGGAUACCAAGGUCAAUACCGGUCGAACCGAGCCGUGCGCUGCUUUUGCAAGAAGGCCCCUGUUUUUCUCUCUUUUUGCACCUGAGGUCCUACGCAGUUCAAAAGUAAUAAGAUCUAGGUCCUUUUUCUUUUGUUUUAGCCCGUGUUCUUUUAUAAAAUCCCGCCCACUAUUCUGUUUGGUCUUUUGACGCGUUAGACCUUCUUUUUAUAUGUUUAAUUAGGUUUUAGGUCUCGAUUUCUUUAAGUUUAGCCCUUGAAAGUUUAGUUCUCUCGCAGUUAAGCCCCUGAACCUUGUUUAGCUCAUAUCUUAAGCGUUUUAAAUCCGUUUUAACAGAUUCUUGCGCCUAUAAGUUCAUGUUGACGCAUAGAUUAGUUGACUUAUACGAACCUUGCUGAUUCAGCUCCUUGAUUGUGCUUCAGAUCUCGCUAGGGAAGAAUAAUGGAUGGGCUUUGGUUGAGCUUGUAGAUCGACUUGCAGUUGCAGUGAAUGAGCAGAGGAUUGGCAGUGAAUAAGAUCAGGCCGCUGCCCUGCUUGGUAGGGAAAAUAUCUGCUUGCUACCAAGGCCUGUGACGCAUGGACCCCAUUGAGAGUGCAUUAUUGACAAGGACUUAAAGCCAAGGGCUCCACACCUGUCAUUGAUCAGCUGUCUGCUGGGCGCUGCAAGGAGGUAGUGCAUGUUUGACAUAAAGAAGCAGGUGGCCCAGGAUUUACGAAAAAUAAGGAUCUAUUUGAUACCCUUGCUUAUAUUUAGGGGCUAAAAGUUGCUUAUUUGAAGUUGCUUAUUUUUAAUCCUAGCUGUUUGAUUGCAUGGGCUAAAGAGCAUUGAAUGAGGUGGAUAUUGUCAUGUUUGCCUCUAAUGAUUGCUUCCCAUCACAUUUCUCCCCCCUCAUUCAACGAGGGAAGGAGGUGUAAAGUGCACCUUUUAGCCCCGAUAAGUAACCCUUGUGUUGUUUACGGGCUGAACAUAAGUAGCUAAAGUUUAGCUCCAAUAAACAAGAGUGUUUGGUAUUUUUGGGGUUAAAAGGGGCUAAACUUUAGCUGCUUAUGCAUAAGCAAGGCCAUCCAAAUAGGCCCUAAGUAUGUUUGGCGUUGUAAGUAGGUUUUAUUUAAUUUCCUAGGCAUUUAAAUUUCUUUCUAAAAUAAGUUAAUGAAUCAUAGGAGUUCAUUGUUGCAUUCACGCUGGUGCAUUGAUUUUGCCUACAAAACCUGCUGCCGUUUCCGCAGCUCCCAUCAAACCCUAGCACCCCCGCCACGAGCUCCAGCGCCGCUGCCGCCCGAGCUUGAGCACUAGCGCACACCCAUCGCCGUCGCCUUCCUAUCAAUGGGAUCACCGCCCGGAGCCCGUGUCAUGGUAAAGAAGCCGCCCGUGAAGAUCCCGUCCACUCUCGUGCCCUCUACCGCGUCCUCGAGUUCACCGGAGUUGCCAGUCUGCCACCCAGCCGCCUCUCCGAGCUUCAUGUUGUCGUUGCCACUCUAGCUGCCUCUCUGAAGACCUAGAUCGGUUUGCCGUGCACCCCGCUUCAUCCUGAGUUAAACCCCAUCAUGCCACGUCAUAGUAAGGAAGCUGCUCAUGAAGAUCCCGUGCGCUCCCGUGCCCUCUACCGCGUCCCCAAGUUCACUGGAGUUGCUAGUCCACCACCGAGCCGCCUCUCCGAGCUUCACUUCACAGUCGCUGCUCCAGCCACCACUCUGAAGACCUAGAUCAGUUCGCUGUGCACCCCACCUCAUCCUGAGCUAAACCCCAUGACGAACUGUGGUCGGAUGCUCAUUUUCGAGUGAAUUCCGGCGAGAUGGUCGCCCGCCGCCGCCAUCUCCAUCGCCCAUGCACCGCCUGUCCCCUUCCAGCCGAUGUCCGAUUGCAAACCGAUAGCCGAAAUCGGAUGUGGUCACCAGGAUUAAUACCAGUCAAACUAAGCCACGCGUGCCGCUUUUGCAAGAAGGCCCCUAUUUUUCCCUCUUUUUGCACUUGAGGUCCUAUGCAGUUCAAAAGUAAUUAGAUCAAGGUCCUUUUUCUUAUGUUUUAGCCCUAUUCUUUCAUAAAAUCCCGGCUGCCAUCCUGUUUGAAAUAGAUACGGUUAUAGAUAUGCAAACAUCUGCAUAUUUCCAACCGUAUCUCUUUCGAACGGGAGACGCCUAACUAGGUUACGUGACAUACGAACAUCAUACGGAUAGAGAGGGGUAGGAUGUCUCACCUUGCUAUCCUACAAAGUGACGACUCGAGGACAGUAAUGUAGCCUCUCCUUCAAAAAAAGAACAUACUACUAUCAAGUUAAAUUUUUGACAGCACCUCCCCUGCACGUGGAGGUUUCCAUAACCUGCAUCAAAUAAAACGGCACGAUGGCUGACAACCACAUCUACAGCACCAGAAUGGCACGAUGGCCGACUUCCACAUAAAGUUCUUAUACCUUAGAUUGCCAAGUCAAACAUCCUUUUCUAAUUUCUAAAACAAAAGCCCUCCCACCUCUCUAUCUUAUACUUUCCUAUUUACUAAUUGCUUUUGUAAUUUCUAAUUUCUAUUUCAUCCUACCACCUCUGUACCCUUUUCUCAUUUCUAAUUCCAAUUUUCUAACUUGAAGAGCAAAGAUUGAUUACUAGGAGGGGUGAGGGACGCCGGCCUAGAGAGGCGAGGGGACGUCCGGCGGCGGCGGGUGCGUCGGGGGUAGGAUGCCAGGGGCGGCUGCAGGGGCGCCGGGUUGGGGGCGGCCGGGAUCGAGGGCACCAGUAGCGGGGGCACCGGGCCGGGGGCGGCCGGCGGGGCGGGACGCCAGGGCCGGGGCGACGGGCGCCGGUGGCGAGGCCGCCCGGCCGGUGGUGGCCGGCGUGGCGCCUGGGCCGGGGGGGGGGGGCGGGCGGGGUGCGGCGCGGCGCGCCGGGGCAGGGCGCCGAGGCUGGGUGGUGGGGUACGGGGCGGCGGGCGGGGGGUGGGGGGAGGGUCGGCGGCGGGGCGCGGGGGCGGCCAGCGGCGACGGCGGAGGGCGUCGGUGGUGUUUCGGAAGUGAUACGGAGGGGGUAGAGAGAUUCGUUUUCGCGGCUGAGUGUUCGAGUCAGAAGGCCGUGCGGCUUAAGUCAGGUGGUUUGCCGAGUGCGCGCGAUCUGGCACUCGGCAAAGUCAGAAGUUUUGCCGAGUGUCAGAUCGCGGGCACUCGGCAACUGCAGCUUUUGUCGAGUGCCCUGGAUUCGGCACUCGGCAAAGUGAAGUUUUAAUUUUUUUUAAAAAAAUUUAAUCGGAACACGGGCGUGCCAGCGGGCCCGUGACAUACUUUGCCGAGUGUGUAGCAAAAACACUCGGCAAAAUAUUAUCUUUACCGAGUGUUUUCGCUAGGCACUCGGCAAAGUACACUUAUAUUUCAUGUACACUUUUUCAAUAACGUGUUUUACUAACCUUUUUCUGAUAUACUUGGGAAAAACCUUAUCAAAUUCACUCAACAAUGGAUAUAUGGUUUUUCUACUGACAUUAUUCCAUUAUUUCAUUCAGUUAUAGCUCAAAUUGAAUUUAUAUCUAUUAAAAAUCAAUAAUUGCAUUUAAUAAAUAAAAAAUACCAAACGGAUCUGAAAAAUUUCCAAAAUUUGACAUGAACCAAUCUAUGUUGUAUGUUGCCUGUACAAAAAGCUUUGAAGUCAAACCCCAAUUCAAGUGUCACUUGGACUCCAAAUCUUAUCGGAUCCUUUCUAACUUCUAUGAAUCCUUUCGGGAGAUGAGUCGGUUUGUAAGCAUCAUAUGUCAUAAAUUGGGCGAAACCUUCUCAAUUUUUUACCACAGCCUCCACAUAUAAUAUCAUGACACCUUGACAAAUCUUGUGAUUUUCAGACUUCGUUUGCUUUUUUUAGAAUUUAACAACCAUUCAACCACAUGUUCGUGAUCGUGUUUUCUAAAAAAAUGUUCAAAAUUUCUUUUCAUUUCCUGGUUGAGACCUCAAUCCGGAUUGAAUAAUAUGAAUAUGAUUUUUUCACUGAUUUUAAUCCAUUAUUUAAAUCACUUGCAGUUAAAUUUGACUUAAAUAAACAAAUUCCUAUUAAUGCUAUCAAUUCAUUAAAAAUAGCAAACAGAGAAAAAAUAGACCAACUUUUAAGAUGGAUUACCAAAUGUCAUAUGUGGGGAGUAGAAAAAGUGUGGAGAGCAGAGGUGGAAAAAAAAGUUUUGCCUUUGCCAAGUGCCUACACAAACACUCAACAAACUUUGCGGAGUGCCUAUUGAAAACACUCAGCGAACUUCUGAGUUUGCCGAGUGUCUGGAGGGAGCACUCGGCAACCUACUUAUUUGCCGAGUGUCCGCGUCGGACACUCAGCAAAGUACUAACGGCUGGCACACUCCCCUAACGGACGGCGCACGUGCAAGCCAUGUGCUGGAGAUUUAUCGAGUGUCAAAUCGUUGCCGAGUGUCGUGUGGAUGUUUGCCGAGUGUCUUAUUUGUGACACUCGGCAAAGCUAUUGUUUGCCGAGUGUAUUAUUUAUGCCGAGUGUCUUCCAGUAUACACUCGGCAAAUGAUGUCUUUGCCGAGUGCUCGACAUAAAGCACUCGGCAAAAAUUUUACACUCGGCAACAUUCCUGUUUCCGGUAGUGAGUGACCCGGGACUAAAGACCCCCGUUGUCUCUGAUUGCUUUAUUCCGGAUGGAUUUUCAGGAGAUUUGCUCCCUACCAAUAGGGACUAAAGGCAAGUUUUCCACUUAUAGCAAACCAGUUAGCCCAUUGUUGAUGGAACGCAUCACUAGAAACAGCUCGGGAUCCACUUGUCCAAUAAUCGAGAGGGCCUAUAUAUGGACCACGUGUGCGGAUCCCUAAUUAGGAAAAAAGAAUAAUGGAGUAGGACAUCUCCAUGCUCACCUAGUAGCCGCUGCUAGCUUGUGCGUGUGGAACACGAGUGCCGGCCCAGUUGGCGCUAAGACAUCGUACGUGCAUUAAGGCUACGAUCUCUUUCUUCUAACUCAUGCUUGUGCUAUUAUACAUUAUUGCAUGAUCAUCAAGAUAAGAUCGUAUAGUGACUGAGUGAGACAUGUAUGUACUAACAUGCAUUUAAGCCUCGAACUGUGUGUUGUUACGUGAGCUGCCUCCUCACCUCGCCUCUGAAUUAUUGAACCGUUUCCAACAGUGUUGGUCUCAAAUAAAUUUGACACCAAACAGAUUUAUGAAGAAGAGAGAAUAAUACUUGGAAUUGGAAAAAGUUUAUCUCUCUUUACAAUGGAGUAGGGCUCCCUUUUAUAGUGACCCAUAAGCCACUUUACAUUUGGAAAAUGUCCUUCCUCAACCACUACAUUAAUUCCUAGGAUAUGCUGUACAUAAAGGUCAUUUGAGGUAACGUGUACAAAUGAACUCUUCCACAUGGUCACGUUUCUCAUGCCUCCUGUUUUCCAACCUCGAGACAUCAUCUUCACGCCAAGUUGAUCAUCUAGCCUCGAGGCUCCAUCCACGAUCCAGAAUGAACGUCCAGGCUUGAGGCUCCUUCUUCGUUAAGCUUUGUUGAGAACUCAUAACCUCACAUAGUUCUCCUCCGAGUAUUGUUCCCGACUCAGAACACUCGAGGUUUAGCUCAGUUGGAGUUUAGCUAUUACUGUUGCUAGUCACCAGCCUCGAGCCCCUCCAGAAGCAAGGUGAUGCGAGGGUACGAGUUUUACUAUUAAAGGUGUUUCCAUAGAAUGUGCGAGGUUAAAGCACUUGCAGCAAAAGCGUGGAGCUGCUUUCAACCAGAGUGCAAUAAUGCAGCCGUGCCCAUCUUGGUCUUGGUCUCCGCCUGAACUAUAGCAGAUGCUGGCAGCGGUAGCAGGGUGGUCCAUUAUAUCUAUGGAUGGCAAUGGUCGGAUUCGGAUGGAAUCGAAUUCGAAUAGCACUUUUUACCACAUACUAAUUCAAAUCCGAAUUCGGAUUCGGAUGUUCUCGAAUGCGAAUGCAAAAUGGAUGGUUCGAAUUCGAAUACUUAGCGGAUUUUUGCAUAAUAUUAAUCGAAUAGAAUUCAUUAAAUUUAGCCAAGAAAUUAAAUUUUCUGAAAUUAAAUACUUUCCCUUCGCCCCAGCGGCGGCCUAACUCCCAGGACGGUGGCGUGCGGGGCCCGAGCAUCCCUGGCCUCUAGUGGCGUGGCGGGGCGGCAUCCAGCAGCAGCGGCGGGGCUCGGCCUCCGGUGGCGCGCGGCCAGCCCGACCUACCCGGUCAGAGGUGGCGCAGCGGUGCGCGGGCCUCCCCGACCAGAGCCGGUGGGGAGCGGUGCGCGGGGAGGACCUCCCCAGCCGGAGGUAGCAGGGCGCGACCUCCCCGGCCGGAGGUGGCUCCCUGUGGGGGCGCGGCCGUGACAGCUAGCGAGGCAAUAAUUGCUUCCGUACGCAGCAAUAAUUGCUUGUGCGACACCGUGUUAUUACUCUGGUACAGUACUCCCUCCGUUGCAGUACACUGGUCCAGGCGUCAGGACACUGCUCCUGCCCUCGUGGUUCACGUGCAUCAGGCCAGCAGACAAGCUAUGAUGUUGCCAACAGUGUUUGUUUGAACAUGGAGAUGUCAUUGUGAUUGUCAGGGACCCGACACCAUGCAUGCCGAUUUCAUAUUCUUAAUAUUUAUUUUUUUAAUGGUUGUUGAAACUAUAUAGUUACUCCAAUAUCACGUUUCCGAUUAUAAAAAUUAACAUAAAGAGAUCGGAAGGGAGAGCCCGCAUAAUGAAGCCGACGCGUAUAAUAAGCACUAGAGCCGGCAUUUAUACAAACGGGUACGCAUAGUAAAAACUAGAAUUUAUAAAUAAAUGAAGAUAUUCAAAUAUCUGGCUUACUUUUUUCAUUAAUUUUGCAUGAAUAAGGGAUGAUUCAUUAAUCAUUAUUGAACAAAUUGGCACACAUGCUUCGUGCCCGCGUUGUGAGCAUUAUGCGAUGCCACUGAGCUGCACCACCACGGUAGAGGGCCUGUUUGCGAUGCCACCGAGCUGCACCACCACGGCAGAGGGUCUGUUUGGGAAGGGGAAGUUAAAGUUUAACACCCCCCAUUUAACACCUUUUUAACAAAAUGGCUGCUAAACACUUGUGUUAAAAGAGUAGUGUUAAAAUUUAACACCUCUCUUUUCAUAAACACAUGGAGGGGGUGUUAAAAUUUGCUAAAUGUGUUAAAAGUGGUCCCCUCCCCACUUAUUCCUUGGUUGCCCCCCUCUCUCUCCUCCUCUCUCUCCUACCCGCCGCAUUUAAGAGCAUUAUUGAGGGGUAAUGCAGUCCUUUUCCAACAAAAGUGUUAAACUUUAACAACCCUUCCCAAACAUGCCACAAGCAACACCACCGGCUGACUGUGCUAGCGGGGAGCACCCUCACCGCCUGCCCGUGGGGACUUCUUCUGCCGGCCAUCGUGUCUUUGUAGGACCGCCGCGUGAGCCUAUGAGCCACCGGUGGCCGUGCGCCCAAGGGCCAUCACCAUGCCACCUGAGGAUGCUGUCUACCCGGUGCCGCGUGCCUCUGCUAGCUGCUUGCACCUGGGCCGCCGCUGGUCGCCUGCACAGCCACGCGUUACAGCCGCCCCCCUGCGCUGGGCCACCCCAUUUCGUGUUGGAAGAACUGCCACAGUCUCGCGCACUGGGGUUUUGCUAGUGACGACCAUAGCCUCCAAGAUCAAAUGAAAAAGUUGGUACUCAAAACAUACAUCCAUUAAUCUAGUCGUGCUAAUCCUUACCACCAAAUAAAAACUAGCAUGUGUUGUGUUUUUGUGACCCUAAACGAUCACAAAUGAAUAACUUAUGGGCGUUGCUAGCCUAUAAGUUAUGGGCGUUUGUGACCCUAGUCGCGCCGGGGUCUUGCUGGUGACAACCAUGGUCUUCGCGAUAAAGUAUUAAGUCUCAUCGAGUUCUACAAUUUUGAUAUAAAAUUUCUAUUCAUCCGAGAUCAAAUGAAAAACAAAUGAAAAAAUCCGAAGUAUUAGGCUUCAUCGAGCUCUACAAUUUUGAUAUAAAAUUUCUAUUCAUCCGAGAUCAAAUGAAAAAAUCCGAGAUCAAAUGAAAAGUUGGAACUCAAAACAUACAUCCAUUAAUCUUGAUAUAAAAUUUCUAUUCAUCCGACAUCAAAUGAAAAAGUUGGUACUCAAAAUAUACAUCCUUUAAUCUAGUCGUGCUAAUCCUUACCACCAAAUAAAAAAACUAGCAUGUGUUGUGUGUUUCUGACCGUAAACGAUCACAAAUGAAUAACUUAUGGGUGUUGCUAGCGUCCCGGACGCUAGCAUCGGACGCAUGAGCAGCCGUCCGAUCGGGUCCGACACCACUUCACGAUCUGUCUUAAAAAAAAGUCCCACCGAAACAUUGUUCCAUGUUGCAUGAAAUACCCCACUAUCCAUCGCCAGGUCUACAGCAAGCACCACCUUCCAAUCUGCUGCUCACCCAAGCUAAAUAGGGGCAUUAAAAUUGCAGAAAUAUGUCACAUAUCCUUGUCAAAUUAAACUAAAUCGCAACAUCCGAAAAUUUCUUACACAAAACCAUGAAACAUAUCGAUUAGAUAGGUGUAACAAGAUGGAAUAUGGUAUCCAACAUAUAGAUUCCGAAAAACAGAUGAAACAUUAUGUAACGAUUGUUGAAACAGUCGAGAAAUAUAGAUGUAACGAUUAAAAUUUAGAAAAGAAGCUUUAUGCAAAUUGCAAAAAGCUGAAAUAAGUGGUUGAAACAUUUCGAAUCACCAAAUGCCACAUUUGAAAUGGCUACAUGAAACAUCACGAAAUCAAUUGCAACAGUUGAAGAUGAAAACAUUCAAAUGCCUUGCCUUUCUCCAGAUUUGACCCUCCAAGCAUGAGUCCAGCCAUUUGCACAUUAGACCCUUGGGAGGAGCUCACCGGAGAACAACAAGACCGUGUUCUCCAACAAUUUUCUGAUCAAAUUGCAACAGACAAAACAAAGCAUUGCAACAUCUGGCAUCACGAGCUACAACAUCAACAAGUUAGGAUCAGGAGAAAGAGGGAAAACACAAGCCUAACAACCCCAAGACAAAACUGAUGUACUCAUCAUACAUCACGGCUUGCCGUGCACAGAGAUGAAGGCCGCCAAGCUCAAUCGAGACAGAGACGACGUGAUAGUGCUCCAGAUCGACGGUCCCCAUCAAUUGUUGCGUACACUGCCAAAAGCAAUGGAAGAAGAAGGGUCGUCCCUGCUCGACCUCCGUAGAUGAGCGCAGAUUGGGGGAAACCGUAUAGAGUGCCGCUGACAGCACAGGCGAGGGGGCUCAGGCUUGAUUCAGGGUGAGGGUAGCGGGUAGCAUGAGGAGACAGUCAGGUUUCAUAGGAGAGAGGCGGAGUAGAGAGCUCUGGUGACUCGGUGAGGAGGGUGCGGCACGGAGAAAGGUGUGUAGCUGAAGGAGCUACAUGGUUGGGGCGAGGCGAGCGUAGAGACUAGAGAGGGAAAAAAAGCAUGGGGAGGAGACGAUAUGUGGUUGAUGGUGCGGGCACGUGGUGAGCGCACCGUAUGAAAAUUUUGCUCGCGUCGGAUGACUGAUGUGAAGCAUUACCCAAUCUUAAUUAUCUCCCAUAAUCCAAAACUCACAAAAACAUCAAAAAUCCGCCGAGAAUAAAUUAAGUAAACCAUGCACACACAGAUAAUAAAAUUGCUAAUAAGGCCAGAGAUAAUACAUGAACAUAUUAGACUGUUCAUGACACAUAUCACGGUGGAUAGUGUCUGUGUCCUUAUUACAAGCAAUGAGAGAUGCUUGUCACCACACACACGCGCACAGAUGCAUGACAUACAUAUAGUUGAGACCAACAGAUGGAUCAACUAGAGGUCACCCCAUAUGGUGAACAAUUUAUUGGAGAUAAACAUUAACAUAACUUGGCCAUAGCUUGAAGCAUAGCAACAUAUGCCUAUGAAUGGCGUUCAUGCUAUCGUUUUAGGCUUGUCCAGCUUCUUUCAUCUUAGCAAGCACUUCCAUUUCUACCAUCUUAGCAGCAACUGUCAAAUUGAGAUAUGGAAAUCCCAUUAGCGCAUGAUUAAUUUUGCAGUGGAAAUAGAGUGCAAGAUAUCUUCAUGAUGUAAAUAACAUGCCUGAAGUUGUGAGAUGGGAAGUGAAGUCAACAAAUUACAUUAACGGAAAUGCAUGGAAGGCCACACAUACGUAUUAGUCCAUAAUACGCUACAAAGCUUGUAUGUACAUAUAGCAAAUUAAAUGCAUUAAUUGAAUAGAGUGAGUUUAGUGAAUUUACCAGAAUCGUCCAGAAAACAUGGGAAACAGCAAGUGUGCUUGCAGACUGUGUCGGAGCCACCCACACGAAUACAAAGCUGACAACAUGCUUGUGCCUCGUGGGAUACGCAGCAGCCGCACUGUGCCGCGGUGGCCGAGUUAACAUUGAGGCUCAAGAUGAACAGGCACAUGAUCACCAUCAAAGUGGUAGUCCUCUUUCCCUCCAUUGCCUCCUGUCGCUGCUACCUUCCUUGGUUACUAGUAAGUUUAUUGGUUUUGUGUUGAGAGGUGAUUCUUGCAUUGAAUGGACGUUGCCGCGGCUGCAAUUUAUAGGCAGCUGCGCUAUGUGAUGAUAUGGACAAGGUGCAAAUGGGUGGUCCUGAUAU
RNAcentral lists this long non-coding RNA (42081 nucleotides) under Setaria viridis. RNAcentral describes it as "long non-coding RNA (SVIR_LNC010032)". The record is from RNAcentral. Lineage: Eukaryota; Viridiplantae; Streptophyta; Magnoliopsida; Poales; Poaceae.